RNAcentral lists this ribosomal RNA (253 nucleotides) under uncultured bacterium. RNAcentral describes it as "partial 16S ribosomal RNA". It matches the Rfam family "Bacterial small subunit ribosomal RNA", at positions 524 to 776 of the family's 1533-position model. The record is from RNAcentral.
UACGUAGGCAGCAAGCGUUGUUCGGAAUUACUGGGCGUAAAGAGUGUGUAGGCGGUGCUCUAAGUCUGUUGUGAAAUCUCCCGGCUUAACUGGGAGGGUGCGGCGGAGACUGGAGUGCUAGAGUGUGGGAGAGGUAAGCGGAAUUCCUGGUGUAGCGGUGAAAUGCGUAGAUAUCAGGAGGAACACCAAUUGCGAAGGCAGCUCGCUGGAACGUAACUGACGCUGAGACACGAAAGCGUGGGGAGCAAACAGG